GGCGACGUACCCAAGUUGGUAAGGGGCGAGUCUGCAAAACUCUUAUUCCCCGGUUCGAGUCCGGGCGUUGCCU
RNAcentral lists this transfer RNA (73 nucleotides) under Fibrobacter sp. RNAcentral's name for it is "tRNA-Cys". It matches the Rfam family "tRNA". From Rfam's summary of the family: Transfer RNA (tRNA) molecules are approximately 80 nucleotides in length. Their secondary structure includes four short double-helical elements and three loops (D, anti-codon, and T loops). RNAcentral also lists the same sequence under 3 other names. The record is from RNAcentral. Lineage: Bacteria; Pseudomonadati; Fibrobacterota; Fibrobacteria; Fibrobacterales; Fibrobacteraceae.